This is a long non-coding RNA of Mercurialis annua (annual mercury), 450 nucleotides long. RefSeq lists it as uncharacterized. The record is from RefSeq and is a predicted model, not a curated record. The transcript has 2 exons. Lineage: Eukaryota; Viridiplantae; Streptophyta; Magnoliopsida; Malpighiales; Euphorbiaceae.
AGCAUAAGUAAAAAGUUACUAUCGACACUAAAAUAACAUCCAACUAAUCAAAGGAUAAUUGAUACACAUGAUUCAGAUGAGACUCUUCCUUCUUCUCAAUUUAUAUUUGAUGAGCCAAAUGUGUUUGAUGGUUGGAGAUAAGUUUCGAGACAAAUUACAAGAUAAAUUUUGAUGGUUGAUAAGCAAUAGAAUUUGGCUGCAGCCACUAGUAAUUGCCCAAUUUUCCAAAUGAGAGACGUUCAAUUGGCGGACAACGUGUAAUUAGGCGGCGGAACAGUGGCAUAAUUUUCAUGAAGAUUACAUUAUUAUCUUAGUGUAUUUUUUUGAAUAAUUUUUAGUAGAUUUAUUUUAAACAUGUAUUUUGUACGUGAGACAUAAUUUUUAAUUUUAGUAGAUUAUUGUUUGUUCAAUUCUGAAUGAUAUAAUAAAAAUAAAUAUUCAGAUUAUUUA